Molecule: long non-coding RNA, 339 nt
Filed under: Brachypodium distachyon (stiff brome)
Lineage: Eukaryota; Viridiplantae; Streptophyta; Magnoliopsida; Poales; Poaceae
Description: long non-coding RNA (BDIS_LNC003609)
Source: RNAcentral
CGGGAUCCCCUAAAUUUUGCCCCCCAAUGUAUUUUUUUUGGUCAUUUGGGAGAGCAAGUGGACAUAUGUCUGGCUUAUGUCCAUCCUUAUCACCCAACCACACCCGCCAAAUUUCUCUCCCAAAUUAGUUUUUACUUCUCUUUAUCCUUCCUCCUCUCAUUUUCACCUUUUCUUUUCCUUUUCCCAAACCUUUUUUAAAUUUGGGGCAAGUUUGGGACAUGUGUCCAGAUAAACAUGACAUUUGUCCGUUUAGGAGAUGCCAUUGGGGGAUGAUUUUGGAAGCAAAAUGUCCAUAUCCACCAAAUAGAACAUUUAAGAUAGGUUUGAGAGAUGCCAUUG